UGCUAAUACCGCAUAACAACUUGGACCGCAUGGUCCGAGCUUGAAAGAUGGCUUCGGCUAUCACUUUUGGAUGGUCCCGCGGCGUAUUAGCUAGAUGGUGGGGUAACGGCUCACCAUGGCAAUGAUACGUAGCCGACCUGAGAGGGUAAUCGGCCACAUUGGGACUGAGACACGGCCCAAACUCCUACGGGAGGCAGCAGUAGGGAAUCUUCCACAAUGGACGAAAGUCUGAUGGAGCAACGCCGCGUGAGUGAAGAAGGGUUUCGGCUCGUAAAACUCUGUUGUUAAAGAAGAACAUAUCUGAGAGUAACUGUUCAGGUAUUGACGGUAUUUAACCAGAAAGCCACGGCUAACUACGUGCCAGCAGCCGCGGUAAUACGUAGGUGGCAAGCGUUGUCCGGAUUUAUUGGGCGUAAAGCGAGCGCAGGCGGUUUUUUAAGUCUGAUGUGAAAGCCUUCGGCUCAACCGAAGAAGUGCAUCGGAAACUGGGAAACUUGAGUGC
RNAcentral lists this ribosomal RNA (502 nucleotides) under Lactiplantibacillus plantarum. Its description in RNAcentral is "bacterial SSU rRNA". It matches the Rfam family "Bacterial small subunit ribosomal RNA", at positions 161 to 649 of the family's 1533-position model. The record is from RNAcentral. Lineage: Bacteria; Bacillati; Bacillota; Bacilli; Lactobacillales; Lactobacillaceae.